AGACUUCUAUCUACAACAGAGGGGUAGGUCCUUGGUACAGGGAGACUUCUAUCUACAGCAGAGGGGUAGGUCCUUGGUACAGGGAGACUUCUAUCUACAGCAGAGGGGGUAGGUCCUCGGUACAGGGAGACUUCUAUCUACAGAAGAGGUCCUUGGUACAGGGAGACUUCUAUCUACAGCAGAGGUCCUCGGUACAGGGAGACUUCUAUCUACAGCAGAGGGGUAGGUCCUCGGUACAGGGAGACUUCUAUCUACAGCAGAGGUCCUCGGUACAGGGAGACUUCUAUCUACAGCAGAGGGGUAGGUCCUCGGUACAGGGAGACUUCUAUCUACAGCAGAGCACUGUAGUGAGAAAGUGGCUGAGAAAUCCACAUUCUAUUUGUGCUAAUGUAAAGGACGUCAUGCUGCUUGCUUAGCGAGUACCKCUUUGGCCCGAUUUGGCCCAUACAUGGACUGACCUCAGGACCUCUGCCUUGCUAGCACGCGUGACCGCACUCCUGAAGCAUCUUACCAGUGGGAGCCACGUGAAAAGCUAGCUAAUCGCUGGCGCAAGUGGGGACACUUCAGACUGAAGAGUAAGUAUCACACAUCUACUCGGGUUACACUAACUUUCCACUCCUUGUCAUUCCAAACAUCAGAGUACAGUUGAAGUCGGAAGUUUACAUACACUUAGGUUGGAGUCAUUAAAACUCAUUUUUCAACCACUCCACACA
Molecule: non-coding RNA, 713 nt
Organism: Salvelinus sp. IW2-2015
Lineage: Eukaryota; Metazoa; Chordata; Actinopteri; Salmoniformes; Salmonidae
Source: RefSeq, a predicted model, not a curated record